Molecule: ribosomal RNA, 516 nt
Filed under: Bacillus atrophaeus
Lineage: Bacteria; Bacillati; Bacillota; Bacilli; Caryophanales; Bacillaceae
Description: bacterial SSU rRNA
Rfam family: Bacterial small subunit ribosomal RNA
Source: RNAcentral
GUCGAGCGGACAGAUGGGAGCUUGCUCCCUGAUGUUAGCGGCGGACGGGUGAGUAACACGUGGGUAACCUGCCUGUAAGACUGGGAUAACUCCGGGAAACCGGGGCUAAUACCGGAUGCUUGUUUGAACCGCAUGGUUCAAACAUAAAAGGUGGCUUCGGCUACCACUUACAGAUGGACCCGCGGCGCAUUAGCUAGUUGGUGAGGUAAUGGCUCACCAAGGCAACGAUGCGUAGCCGACCUGAGAGGGUGAUCGGCCACACUGGGACUGAGACACGGCCCAGACUCCUACGGGAGGCAGCAGUAGGGAAUCUUCCGCAAUGGACGAAAGUCUGACGGAGCAACGCCGCGUGAGUGAUGAAGGUUUUCGGAUCGUAAAGCUCUGUUGUUAGGGAAGAACAAGUGCCGUUCAAAUAGGGCGGCACCUUGACGGUACCUAACCAGAAAGCCACGGCUAACUACGUGCCAGCAGCCGCGGUAAUACGUAUGUGGCAAGCGUUGUCCGGAAUUAUUGGGC